Molecule: transfer RNA, 71 nt
Filed under: Lepidolaena novae-zelandiae
Lineage: Eukaryota; Viridiplantae; Streptophyta; Jungermanniopsida; Porellales; Lepidolaenaceae
Description: Jubulopsis novae-zelandiae partial tRNA-Leu
Source: RNAcentral
GUGCAAAUCUUUGUAAAAAGAAAAUCCGUUGGCUUUUAUAGACCAUGAGGGUUCAAGUCCCUCUACCCCCA